RNAcentral lists this ribosomal RNA (498 nucleotides) under Microserica sp. DA3458. RNAcentral's name for it is "partial 16S large subunit ribosomal RNA". It matches the Rfam family "Bacterial large subunit ribosomal RNA", at positions 1844 to 2600 of the family's 2925-position model. Lineage: Eukaryota; Metazoa; Arthropoda; Insecta; Coleoptera; Scarabaeidae. The record is from RNAcentral.
UUUAAAGUCUAAUCUGCCCUAUGAGGAGUUAAAUGGCCGCGGUAUUUUGACCGUGCAAAGGUAGCAUAAUAAUUAGUUUUUUAAUUGAAAGCUAGCAUGAAUGAUUGGACGAGAAAAUAGCUGUCUCAAUUUAAUUUUAUUAGAAUUUUAUUUUUAAGUAAAAAAGCUUAAAUAUAAUUAAAAGACGAGAAGACCCUAUAGAGUUUUAUAAUUAAUAUAUUAUAAAUUUUUAAGAAUUUUUUUAUUUAUAUUAAAUUAAUUAUUUUAUUGGGGCGAUAGAAAAAUUUAAUUAACUUUUUUUUAAAAAUUAUAACAUUAAUUUAUGAUUGAUUGAUCCAUUUUUUAUGAUUAUAAGAUUAAGUUACCUUAGGGAUAACAGCGUAAUUUUUUUUUAGAGUUCUUAUCGAAAGAAAAGAUUGCGACCUCGAUGUUGGAUUAAAAUUUAUAUUUGGUGUAGGAGCUAAGUAAUUAGGUCUGUUCGACCUUUAAAAUUUUACA